AAUAUUAGGAGGAAAUCUGGAAAAUCAAGAGCUCAGUAAUGGUUUUAUCUUGGUUGUUGAAAUUAAAUCUAUUCCAACUUCUAUAGACAAUUUAGUAGUUCUUUAAAUAAUCUAAGAGCUUGGUUUUGUCUUUUUUCGUUAAACUUUCUUCCCAGUACUUCUUGUAUCCGGAGUUCAGCCAUUUGAUUACAAUAUUAUUGGAUUCUAUAAAUACAAAAGCAGGGACCGUUAAUACAACCAUAGUGAUGUUAAGCAACAAAUCAAAAUAGAUAUAUAUUACCAUGAUGCCGUGAAAGAUUUUUAGAGUUAUAAACGAUUCUAUGCAGGGAAAGAUUUUCAAAGUUAUAAAUGAUUCUAUCUAACCAGCAAAAAAAAUUAUAUACUAAUUGCUUUCAAUCAGAUGGAUUCUCCAAAUAAUCUGCCUUCCAUUUAGGCAUCUGAUCAUUCAAGAUCACUUUGACUUCACCCGUAAUUCAGUGACCAAUUGUCCACCCACCAACACCGCCCGGGAACAUCAAGGUCCAACUCUAGUGGACACAAUAUUUAAAAUGCUGCAGUUGACUAAAUAGACAAAAGAAAAUUAUUCUUGAAAUAACUCAAAAAAUUUAUCUUCCUUUGGCUCUUAUAGUUUCCAGAACCAACCUACCAUUUAUUUUCUCACAGAAAUUUUACGAACCCAUUUUGAUCCUAAACAUUUAGAGGUCAACCCACAAAGAAGGAACCCACUUGUCUGAAUUACCCUAAUAAUUCUACCUAUCCAUCAUCAUUAGAGUUCUUUUGCAUUCCAAACAAGGAAUCAAUUUGACAUCAAUGACUACGAGUUCCAAUGGGGACAAUUUGAGUUUGAUGUGAUUUUCCUACACAAAGUAACAAAUCCAGUCCUUGCUUCCUCAUCAUCUUAUAAUUAUCUAUUUGCUCAGUAACAAUUUUUUCAAGGCAUUAUCUGUGUGACACCUUACAACAGAGUUUUAAAUCUUCAACUGUGACAAAGAAGUGUAGGUGUAGGGGUUAAUGUCUCAUCUAAGGAAGCAUACAUCAAAGAAUAUUACUGUGCAUUUCCUGCACCAAGGUCAGGAGGCGUUGAUUUCAAAGCAACUCAUGUUGAUAAGAAAUUCAACUUUCGAAGACUCGAGCAACACUUCCCUCAAUGAGGAUUAGCCUUUGAAUAAUAUUCGACACAAAAUUAAACCUGCUAGCCAGGUUUAAAGAAAUAAAUAAAUAAAUAAAAGAACCAUCACCACUGAGAGCUGAGAAGGUUGGAGGAUAGGUUAUGAAAUAGAAGCAUCUUUCUCACUGCAAAGAUUUGAAAGACACGUGUUACCAAGUGGUGGUGUUAAAUUUUUCUGCAUUUUUUUUUUUUUUUAAACUUCUUCUCUCAAUAAUUACAUUAAAAGAUGCAGUUUUGCACAGAAAGGUCAUUGCCCAGUAUCCAAGGGUCUUAGCCAGCAAGUUAUUAACAAUAAAAGAUUUACUUCACGCAACUUCUUUCUGGUGCUCUCUGUAUCUAUUUUUUUUCCGUCAAUUAUUUUCCUCAUCAACCCAAACCUAGAGGCUCAUGCCCUCCAGGGCUUCAAAUAGUCUUUAAAUGCCAGUAGUAUAAAAGUGUAAGGAGUUGUGCGUCUCCAUAAAUGUCCUUAUACACACUAGUGAAUGGCAUAAAAUAUUUUCCGUUUGCGGAUUGAGCAAAAAAUGCAGACGCAUAGAGUUGUAUACAAGUUCUUUUAUGCUUUGAUAGAGUAGAAAAGCUCACUAACAAAGUUGUGGUGAUUUUAUUUUGUAAAGCUCUGAGUUGCUUCUCAUUUCCUCAAGGCCUAUAAAAUUUGGAGGAAGGCUCUUUAUUUUUGGCUAUUUUUAUGUGGAUGAUGGCUGUGAGCAAAUAAUUGGUGGGUGGUAUAAGUGAUGUCAUGUGAAGGCAAUUGAAGGUUAAGGUGAAUUUGAUACCUUACAUUCUUUUGCAUCUAUCAGUUGACGAAUGAUGUCUAGACUUACACUAAUGGUGGUGGUUAGAUUGCAACUGAGGUGGAUGGCCCACAAUGCUGGCAAGUGAUGCAGGUUAAUGGAAAGGGAUGCGAAAAAGUGGAGGCCUGAAGAAAGGUUAAAGUAAGAGAAGGAAAGCAAUUGGAAUAUGCUCAUAUAUGAAAGUUGGCAUAUUUAUAUCAUAAAAUAUUGGACCAGUGAACUAAAGAUAAAUGAGUAAGAUCAUACGAAAACUAUCACCAUAUGAGAAGAUAGAAAUAGAACAAAAGGAAAUGGAUUUCCCAUGUUUGGCAUGACAAUGAGACA
This is a long non-coding RNA of Olea europaea var. sylvestris, 2283 nucleotides long. RefSeq lists it as uncharacterized. The transcript has 2 exons. The record is from RefSeq and is a predicted model, not a curated record. NCBI's taxonomy places the organism in Eukaryota, Viridiplantae, Streptophyta, Magnoliopsida, Lamiales, Oleaceae.